Molecule: ribosomal RNA, 331 nt
Filed under: uncultured Thermoprotei archaeon
Lineage: Archaea; Thermoproteati; Thermoproteota; Thermoprotei
Description: bacterial SSU rRNA
Rfam family: Archaeal small subunit ribosomal RNA
Source: RNAcentral
ACCGUCGACAGUCAGGUAACGAGCGAGACUCCUGCGUCUAGUUGCUACCAUUACUCUCUGGGGCAGUGGAGCGAAUUAGACGGACCGCCACAGUUAAUGUGGAGGAAGGAAGGGGCCACGGCAGGUCAGUAUGCCCCGAAACCCUAGGGCUACACGCGGGCUGCAAUGGUAUUGACAAUGUGUUCCGAAUCCGAAAGGAGGAGGCAAUCAUCAAACAAUAUCUCAGUUAUGACUGAGGGCUGUAACUCGCCCUCACGAAUAUGGAAUCCCUAGUAACCGCGCGUCACUACCGCGCGGUGAAUACGUCCCUGCUCCUUGCACGAAUUCGCCG